UUCUACUUCAGAAAUUGUGAAAUAUAUUUGAGUUGCAGACUUCAAUGGGGCAGGUUUUAAAUCACAAUGAAAUAAGCAAUUAAUUGUAAAAUGAUGAAGGAAUGUCUUGAUGGUGUCCCUGUGAAGCUUAAAAGUUUGGAACAGACAAGACUGGCACUGAAGCGCUCCUGGUAUCAUUGCUGCCUUGUAUCUUUUUUGGCAUGCUCUAUAGGAAAGCACAGAGAAAGAAAAAUAUGAAAUUGAACAUGGCAAAUUUAAUUAUAAAACAAAGCCACCCACCUUGCUUUCAGGGUCAGGAAGUAUAAUCGCCUCCUUUUGACGCACGAAUGAGUUUAACAACAUAUGUUAAAUGAACAGUUAUUUAAAAUAAAAGGAAAUGACCUUAAAAACAGCUGCAGUAUCUCAGGCUGUAGCACCGACAGCAGUGCAGAAAAACAGCCCAUUGUGGAAGGAAGACACAGGCAUAAACGAGAGCACUCCCGCAACCCGACUCUUGCAAAGACAAAAGCAAAAAGCAAUCAUUUCACAGAACACUGUAAAAUAUCUCGCUUAGAUUUGGUCUCACCAGCUUGUUCUGCUUCUGAUUUCUUAUUUAUGUUUGUUUAUUUUGGUCUUUCUUUUUCCUAUUUAUUUAUUGUUUGGCUGCAAGACCAAAUCCUCAUGCCCAAAGCCACUGUUUGCUGCACAAUGGUACGACGACAUUGGGUGUAUUCCAGAAAAUCGUAUUUUAAUGAAUGUCACAAGCAGUGAAAACACCAGAGCAAGCACAUCAGCACUAGUUGCACCCCUAAGAAUAAAAAGAAAAAAGCUUUUUGCAACAGAAUAAAUCCAUUUUUCUGGAAAGCACUCAGAAUCACAUGACCAAGCGCAGAGCCUUUAUGACAGCGCAGAACCAGCCUGCAAUGGGAAAGAAAUUAAGCAGGUCUGCCUCCUCCUCGCACACGCUUUUUAGCCUGUCGACGGGCUGCCUGUCCGUAUCCCUCACAGCGCAUCUGUAGAGCCAUUAAAUUGGAUAAUCCCUCUGGCCUUUGAUACAUUUCUGGACAUGAUUAUUUCAUUACUUGCAGUAUAUCAGUAGGAUCAUAAUAAAAAGGACUUCUGACAACCUGCCAAGAGUUUUGUGGCCUUGUAAACACAAAAGUGCUCUAAUAAAAUUUUAUUAAGUGUUAAAAAGUCAUAAAAAGUGAAAUAACAUAAACUACAAAAUUUACUGUCCUCAGCAAAUGCUGAAAAUAUCGUCCAUAGUAAAAUUAAAUUAGCAUGUAAUAGCGCGGCAGUGUGGAGUGGGUUUGAAAGAGAAUGCAGAAAAAAAAACAAAGGAAAAAAAUAAAGAAAGAUUGCACUUGAACGGAAUGUGGGCCGCGGGGGUUCGCUUUAUGGCGAUCCCCGCGGGUUCUCGGGGGCCGCUGGGGAUGCACACGCGGGCGGGUGCGGGUCGGGGCGCGGGGCGCGGCGGGAGCGCGGCGCGGGGCGGCCGCCAGGCGGCGCUGUGGGAGCGGGAAUGCGGCGGCCCCCGCGCCGCGACCCCCGGCGCAGCCCCGGCGGCCGCCGGGAGCGCUCCCCCACCCCAGAAAUGAGCCAUUUACAGGGAUUUUGGCGUUUUCUUGCGAAUCAAAAAAAAAAAAAAAAAUGGAGCGAGGAAAACAAUGCGGGUAGAGCUGGGCUGGAAGGCGCCUGGCGGGGCAGGCAGCGGCGGAGCGGGCUCCCGGCGGCUUCGGCCGCGCCGCUCCCCGCCGCCGUCCCGGCUCCGCGCCCCCGCGCCCGGGGCAGGGGCAGCGGCAGGGGCAGGGGGUCCCGCGCCGGGGGCGAGGCGGCAGAGAGUGCGCGCCCUCCGUGCCUCCGGGGGCCCGCAGCAGGAGCCAAGUAAAAUCCAGCCUGUAAGAAUGCAACUGCCCAGCCUUCCUUAUUCUUGAAGCCACCUGCCCGAAUGUUCCUUGAGCCAAGACCACAUGGGCAAAGGGAAAACAAUGAACUCAUGGAGAAGUUCACAAGUGGCAGGUGACAAAAUGUCCCAGAUGUCUUACCAGUACACUGUAGACCAGGGCUCAGCUGGGCUGGGCCGUUCCCUCCUUCCCAUUACUGGGGAUUCAGAUUAAUCAGUCCUGGUUACAUGACAUGACCCCAACGUGAAAACAGCAUGCAGGCCAGGAGACCCAGACCUCCUGAGAGGACUUUGGUCAUAUCUAAGAGAGCAGAAGAGUACUAGGGUUUUAAUAUGAAUCAUUACCAUGUGUAGAAUCUGAUGAGAUGUGUGUUUGUGGCUCAGUUCUGACCCUACCACCAUUCACAUUAAUUUUUGGAAAGCUUUUCCUUUCAUUUGCAAACCUUCAAGUUCUAAAUGGCCUGCUGGCUGCAACUGGCCACUUCAGCUCCUAUGAAGAGGUAGCUGCAAAAGCAUGUAUUUUCCACUUGCACAAGGACUCCAGCUUCCAACACGAUGGGCACUUCUUUUUCCCCUCUGUCUUCUGCUUCUCCAACAGUAGAAUGUUCCACAGAAAUAACUUGGUCCAUGUGAAUUUCCAUGGCACUCUUGAGCACAAACACCUUCCCUGAACUGAUUGGCCAUGGACCACAUAAAGGGUAUAGAGGGCAUCCAUCCCUGUGGUGGAAGGGAUUGUUUCAUAAGGAUUAAUGAGAAAUAACCAUUUAAUCCCAUAGAGAAUGCGAUGUAAAAAUUCAUGUACAUUCCUGCUGCACAGUAAUGGCCUUAUUUCCAGAAUCUGUAAGACAGCAGAAUAAGUAACACACAACAUCAAACCCUUUUUUAUAUUUUAGAAAAUACACUGUUUACUGUCAGUGAUAGAAAGGGCAAGAAGAAAAAAUACCUUUGCCAAGCUGUGCUUCCUGGUAUGUUCAGUGUAUAUUCAAGUGCUUCCUGGUAUAUUUAGAAACAACCAAAUGACAGCAAAAUACGGUUUGUAGUUAAGGUCCCUUAUCAACACUUAGUCUGAGUGCAGAAUAAGAAAAUAUGCAAGAUUCUCCAAUGAAUAAAUGAAUAUUUAACAAAUCUGAAUGAAGAUAAAUUGAGGAAAUCCUUUUAUAAAGACAAGCGAAUACAUCUUUAUAACAUAGGCAAUAGCUCCACAUUGCACAUGACAAGGUGUGCUUUGUGUAAUAGGGUGAAUAUGUACUGCUAACUCUGUGGAAUACAGUUGAAUUGCAAAAAUAUAUUUUUAAAUUUUCAUAAUGGAUGAAGGCAGCAUGUCUGAGGUUACUCACAUUUUAGAUUAUUAUUACUGAAGACUUUUUUUACAUCAUUAGUUUUUAAUAUAGAUGUUGUUUGCUUCCACUUUACAAUUUACUCUGGUUUAGAGACUGAAUAUACAACACGUGGUUGCAUGGAACGCAGGUUCUGUAGAACUAAGCAGCUAUGUUACUGAAUUUUACACAUAUAUCUAGUAGAAAAACAAUUUUCUACAUUCUUUAUUAAACAGCCCAUCUAUUCCAGUCUCUUUCUGUGUAAAAAAAAAAAAAAAAACAACAACAUAACAAAGUCAACAUACAAUUUUUUUAUCUAUCUAUUAGGGCAAAGAAAUUUUCUUUCUACACUGACAUCAAUAAAGAUAAAUAUUGUUGGAUUUUGCUACAAAGCUCUAAUUGAGUGCUUCUCUUCACUUCUCCUUUACACCUCUCUAUAGAUUCACACAUUUUUUUUCCAAAAGAGAGGAGCGUACAAUGCUGCGGAGUUAGCAUUACAUUAAACUGUUGUAUAAAGUUUGUCCACUAGGUGGUCCUUAAAGACGUAUUUAAGAACAUUGUUUCAGGUUUUAAGCCUUCAUAUUUAAACACAUACAAAUAAAUGCAAAUAUCUAUUUUAAUGUCAUGAUUAGCAGCUAUGGCUAAAAUGACUGUAACUGUUUUGCUCCCUCCUCCCAUAUUCAUUGUGUAUUCAUCAAAGAUAAAUAAUCUGAGGAAUAUUUAAUAUAAGAUUCUGCUGUGUGUGCAAGCCCCCAGACUUCUUUAAAAGCAGGUAAUUCAAAUGAUUUCAGCGGGUUACUCACAGAAGCAAAUCCUGUGUACAUGAAGAAAAUCUCAAUUGUAGGUCAUAUACUCCAUUUAUAUUCCAGGGAUGCCAAACAAUUGGAAGUGAUGGAUUUCAUUUGCAUUGUAGUGAUGUUGUCAAAAGUAAAAAACAAACACAAAAAUUAGCAUUGGCAUAGCUGUAAACAACAAUUUAUAGCACUGACAGGAAAAUAUUCACAUUCCAAGCACAAAGCUCAUUUUACUUUGAGAUAGCUUGAGAUUGAAUCUGGGAAUCUACUGUAUGCCUAAAUCUUCCAACAGAAGGUGGAAUGUCAUCAAAACUCGGCAGGUGUGGAGGCACUGUGAGGUGUUUGCAGCAAGUGACUUCUCUACACAACUAGAUCUUGCAGAGCUUCUCAUUCUUCUGUUUGCUAUUCCCAAACUUGAAAGAAACAUCUUCACUACAGAUGGCACAUGCAACUGAAGAAAACUUCAUUCCAUGAAUGUCGUGGAACAGAAGACAUUUUAACACAUCCACAACCAAAAAAACCUGAGAUGUAUCAACAGCAAGGAACAUUUUUCUCACACCCUUGAGCAUUAAGGAUGACAGAAUUCAAAGAAAUAUAGUAAUUUACACCUGCUGAACAGGCAAUGAUUUUGAGAACUGGAUAAAAAUAUUGUCUGUCUGUCACAUAUGCCAAAUGAUCUUGGUAUUAAACUUUCUCAUUAUACAGUAGACACAUUUUGCAAGAGUUUAGAAAUAAAAUGUAAGAAACUUUUCAAACAUUUUAAAAAGUUAUAUGCUAUGAUGACGAGAAACUAUGAGUCCAAGAAAUAGAUCUGCAGCCAUUAUGGGCCUUUUUUAUUACGUUGCUAUAGUUUUUCAGUGUGGUAACGGUAAAUUUCUCAAUACAUUGUACUAAUUUCCAUAUUCAUUUUCGACUUAGCUCUCAUUUCUAGUGUGUAAAGUAUGAUUCCAUUAGUCUUCAUUGAUUCAUAGAAAAUGUACCGUGGACUGUGUCUUUUUGUUAAUGAAAGGAAAAAUAAGAAUGAAGUUAUAGAAUGUAAUGAGGUUUAGAAAUGAGUUUGCUUCAUCUUAUAGCAGUUCUGAUACAAAUUAUUACAAGAUUGGCAAUUCUGAGCUGUAUAUUGCUUGUAAUACAAACCAUACCUAAUGAAAAAAUGAUGUAAUCAAAAACUGUAGAGAGACAGGGGACUCGGUGUUCCUCUCCUUGUGAGCAAGGCUUCUUGCUAUAAACUAGUGAAUUUAUGUUGGUAUUAAAGAAGUUACCACUGUAACAAAGAAAUUACUAUGUUAUUCACAGAGUAAGAACAAGGAGAGAACAGGUAUUUCCCUUGUUGCUUCUUCUAAUAUCAACUGAGUUUAAAAGUUCAGUCUGGUUAAAAUAUUUUCCCAAAGUACUUCACAAACUGGAAGAGGGAAAUCACUGCUUGCUCCAGUGACCUUUUGAUAGUCCAAACCAGCUGUUUGAUGGGCCAUAGAAGUUUAAGUAUUUGGGGGUACAAGCACACCGUGUGAUCCUGUGGGCAAAGUUUAGGUUGGAAGAAUUGUUUAAAUUACCAUGGAGUCAAGAUUAAAACCUUCAUAGGAAUUACAGAAGAUACUAAGUUUCAUAAUUUGUAGUUUAUGAUAAAUGAGUGUUUAAAAGAAAACACGUAAGAACUGGGCAAAAAAUUGAAAAAGGUAAAUCCAAGAAAACCAGUUUAAAGUUUUGGUGUCCUGGUAAAACAUAUUAAAAGCAAAAGUGUCAUAGUAAAGAGAAAAAAGACACAAGCCAAAGGAAGAAUAAACAAAAAUGCUUUCCCCCGUUUCUCCCUGCAACAGUGGCAAUACCCUAUUUGUUCAAAUCUUUAUGUAGUACAAACAAAUACAGCCUCUAAUACAACAGUCUUUUCACAUUAAGCUUCUGAACAGGGAAUUAUCCUCCUACUCCAGCUUCUAAUUUCCUCUUCCUGUCCCAUAUAUAAAACAGCUGGGUGCGGUUGUCUGAUGAGAUCAGCUGCCUUGGUCUCUCAAGCUAUUUUACCCCUUCCUGCCUGUUGCAUGAGCUCUGCUCAAUGUAGGAAAAAAAGGAGGGAGAACCACCCCAGCAAGUACAUCAAAGUUCAGAAGCAACAUUAACAUACUGGAAGUGGGAAGAAUGAGACAGACUCUUACCUAGCAAAUUCAUUUCUUAAACAAAGAGCAAGACAAGCUGAGGUUUAAAACUGAGAAAUCAUAUGAAGAGGAGGAAAAAAAAAAAAAAAAGUAAAUCUAAAAACCAAAGGUGGACAAGAAAUGAAAGAAGCAGGGGAGCAGGAGUACACACAUAAGAAGAAGUAAUGACAGCCAGGAGCUGCUUUGACACAAGGAACUGACUGAAGAAAAUCACAUCACUUGUGUGCUGCAGAGCUCCAAGACGUUUUCAUCACCCGGUUCCUGAAUGCAUUUUGGCUGAGGCAGGCAAACUUAUGAUCUCUAAUGAGUCCUUUCAUUUGCAGCUUAAUAAUUUUAACUAGUUUACUAUACAACUGUCUUCUAGGUGUCCUGCCAACGGGAUCCCACUCAUUAACUACACAGACAUUAAUUACAGAUACAUAAAACUCAGUAAGAAAGGCACUUAGAAAGAUCAGAGAGAAACUUUUUAAAGUAUUUUAUUUUUUAAUAUAGAUGCAAUAUUUUUCCAAGGUCACUUUAGAGUUAAGUGGUGUACAGUCUAUUAAUGUGGAAAUGCCCAUACAGUCAUUUCAGGUUAAACGUGCACAGAAUAUUCUACAACACAAAAACUGCAUUUAGAGAUUUUUCCUGCUCCAGAAUGAUUUGGCAGCUUCAAAAAGCUAACACACGUUUCCAUUCUCAAAAUCAAUCCCUUGAACAACAAACCCUCAAACUGAAACACACUCCACCGCAC
Columba livia (rock pigeon) is the source of this 6875-nucleotide long non-coding RNA. RefSeq lists it as uncharacterized. The record is from RefSeq and is a predicted model, not a curated record. The transcript has 3 exons. NCBI's taxonomy places the organism in Eukaryota, Metazoa, Chordata, Aves, Columbiformes, Columbidae.